CCAGAGUGCCCUAGGCUCUCCAACCCAUUGUGAACAUACCUAUCGUUCCCUCGGCGGGCUCAGCGCGCGGUGCCUCCGGGCUCCGGGCGUCCGCCGGGGACAACCAAGCUCUGAUUUUAUUGUGAAUCUCUGAGGGGCGAAAGCCCGAAAACAAAAUGAAUCA
RNAcentral lists this unclassified non-coding RNA (163 nucleotides) under soil metagenome. RNAcentral describes it as "partial internal transcribed spacer 1". The record is from RNAcentral.